AGAAUUCAGUGUCUUGGAAGUGGGGGGAGGGGCGGGGGGAACAGAUAGAGAAAAACAAGCAAAGAGACAUAGGUAGACAGACAUGCACACAGAGACGGAUCCAGAGAAAGAACGAAAAGCAGAAAGAGAGAGAGGCGGAGGGAGAUAGGAAGAGACACGCGGGGAGGGAGGCAGAGCCAGGAGGCGGACGAGGUUGGGUGAGGACAGGGCAAGCUAAGACCCAGCUUUGUGAGGCUGAGUCAGGAGCAAGGGCAGUCUGGCUGCAUCUUCUCAGGAGAGGGACGAUAGCCCUCGGCCCAGGAGCGUCCGUACAUGGCGCUUCCCUCAGAAACUCUACUCGGGGCGGACAGCCAGUGCAAGAGGCUCCUGCUCCCAGCUGUCCUGCUUGCCUCCAUGGCAGCUGCUGAACUGUUGCUCUUCCCUGAAGACCUGAACAGGCUACCUGGAAGUUCAAUUAGAUGGCGGAUUUCCGGAGGCCCCUCUGGUUAUGUCAACUAUACAUGGUACCGGGCAAACGCAUCCAUUGAAGCAAAUAUGCUUGUUUCAUACAUCUCCUCCCCUCCUAGCUGGAUUCCUGGCCCUGCAAAUGCUGGCUGGGAGAAUGUGACUCAAAAAGGCUACCUGACCAUCACAGAAUUAGAGUUUGGUGAUGCUGGGAACUACUCGAUAGUGGUGACUGGCAUUGAGGGAUCCCAGGAGGACACUGGACAGAUCCAGGUCUGGGGAGAUGAGGCAGCAGAGAACUUAGGCUUUUCAAAGGAGAAAUUGAAAGAGUGAAGACCUCAAAGACAAAUGACCCAAGAAAGAAUCUUACCUAAGACACUUACUGUGUGGCCAGCCAUAGGGUUAUUAUGAGCUUAAAGAACUUUGUAAAUGUAACUGGUUAUUAUAUUAUUCUACCCCAAAGCCACACACACGGAGGGGUUCUCUCAUAGAUAGAGAGGUGGGUUGGAAUGUGGAGAGAGCUAAUGGGUCCCUGGAGCACUCUGGAGGGUGGUUGGCAGGACGGGUUUAAGUAUGGGAGGGGCUCACCGGGGGAAGCAGGAGAAUGCGGGUACCACUCAGGAAGGAGUGGGUCAAGGGCAAAGUCCCUGCCACACAGACAGACCACAUGAUCCUGGGCAUGGCAAGCCAAGUCACCGAGAGCAAAGCCAGUGAUAGGGCCAGGCUUGUCCUGGGGCCAGGAUUGGGCAAAAGCAACAUCUGCCUCUGGUUGAGAAAACAAACAAUCCGGCUCAGGAAGAGGAGGUGAGAAUUGGUGAACAAGGUGGAAGUCCCCUGAAGGGGCAGAGUCAUGGAGCUGUCCAGAGCCUCUCCGCAUGGCUGGGGCAGCCCCUGGAAGAGGUUCCUGCUCACAGGUAUCCUGCUCAGCUUCUGGGGGCCACCCAGAAUCUGCUCAGAUCUUCACCGCCACUGUCCCAAACCGCCCCAUGGAAGGAGAUGACGUGAUUCUGACCGCCCCGAACGCCCCAGACAGGAUCCUCAAUGCCAGCUGGCACUCAGGGUUCCAGCCCUCGGAUCCUGACACGAUCACCAGCUGCAUCCCCACUGCCCAGGCAGGCCCCUGCACCCAGCGCCUAGGUCCUGCCCACACCAGGAGGGAGGCUCUGACAAGCUGGAACACAUUGGGAAUCAGAAACCUCACUCCCUCCGACACUGGCUUUUACUCCCUGGUGCUGAACACUGACUCAGGCCUGGAGAAGGCAUCCCCCUACAUCCAUGUCUGGCGCCCACGGGAGUUUCUUCUAAUACCAGACAUCUCGGCCAACAUGAAUGUUGCUGUGGAGAACGUGGACUGA
Molecule: long non-coding RNA, 1799 nt
Organism: Phascolarctos cinereus (koala)
Lineage: Eukaryota; Metazoa; Chordata; Mammalia; Diprotodontia; Phascolarctidae
Source: Ensembl